Molecule: non-coding RNA, 199 nt
Filed under: Terasakiispira papahanaumokuakeensis
Lineage: Bacteria; Pseudomonadati; Pseudomonadota; Gammaproteobacteria; Oceanospirillales
Source: RNAcentral
UCGUGUCGUCGGCAUACAGGUGCCCAUUGGCCUUCCUAAGCCCAGUGGGAUAAUCGGGAAGUAUGGUGCGAUGCCAUCGCUGCCCCCGCAACGGUAUCAGGUGAACACCUCAUCAAUACCACUGGCUUGAAAGCCGGGAAGGGAUGAGGCUGUAUUGAACCCCUGGAGCCCGGAGACCGGCCUGUGAUGCCACACUCAU